This 253-nucleotide ribosomal RNA is filed under the name uncultured bacterium. RNAcentral describes it as "partial 16S ribosomal RNA". It matches the Rfam family "Bacterial small subunit ribosomal RNA", at positions 524 to 776 of the family's 1533-position model. The record is from RNAcentral.
UACGUAGGGUGCAAGCGUUGUCCGGAAUUAUUGGGCGUAAAGAGCUCGUAGGCGGUUUGUCGCGUCUGCUGUGAAAACUCGGGGCUUAACCCCGGGCCUGCAGUGGGUACGGGCAGACUAGAGUGCGGUAGGGGAGACUGGAAUUCCUGGUGUAGCAGUGAAAUGCGUAGAUAUCAGGAGGAACACCGAUGGCGAAGGCAGGUCUCUGGGCUGACACUGACGCUCAUGCACGAAAGCGUGGGGAGCAAACAGG